GGCGGAGUGGCAGAGUUGGGGAGCAUGCGAGGGUCUGCAACGCCCUAGACGUUGGUUCGAAUCCAACCUCCGCCU
Molecule: transfer RNA, 75 nt
Filed under: Betaproteobacteria bacterium SCGC AG-212-J23
Lineage: Bacteria; Pseudomonadati; Pseudomonadota; Betaproteobacteria
Rfam family: tRNA
About the family: Transfer RNA (tRNA) molecules are approximately 80 nucleotides in length. Their secondary structure includes four short double-helical elements and three loops (D, anti-codon, and T loops).
Source: Rfam by way of RNAcentral